GGGUACAGACUAGAACAUUUCAACGGACAGAACAUUGUUCGCGAACAUGUUUGCAACCAAUGUGGACGGGAAAACGAACAUUUCCCCGUAACAAAAAAUGUUCGGUUGUUUGUUCGGUUGCGAUCCGAUAUUUGUCGGUUUUUGCCCGUCACAUCAAAGGAUGUUCGCCGUGGCUCGGAUAACAGUCUGGACGUCGCUGCGAACACUUCCUGCGAACAUUCAGUUGUCGACGUGGAGCGGUGUUGUCUUCACGGAGUUAGUAGCGGUGCGUGACUCUUUUGUUAUAUGAGAAUGGAGUGGUCCAAGGAAGAUCAAAUAAAACUGAUAGAUUUGUAUAAACAACAAACAGUGAUAUGGGACCCAAACAAUGUUAAUCAUUUCAACAAAAUUAGAAAACAAGACGCGUGGGAAGAAAUCGGGGCCGAAAUGGACAGAGAUGUGGACGAAUGUAAGAAGAAAAUGGAGAGUUUGCUAUCAGCAUUAAGAAGGGAGAGGAAGAAAAUGAAAGACACUGCUGGAACUGGAAAAGGAACUGACGAAAUGUACAGAAGUUCCUGGUUCGCUUUCGAAAGUCUACGUUUCUUGCUGGACAAAAAUAAACCAAGAAAGACAAUUUCGACGAUGCGAGUAGAAAGCGAAGAGAGAGACGUAGAAUGUGGUGCAGUUGGAGAAUCAGCACAGGAAACUGUACCGAAAAAGAAGAAGCAGCGAGUCGAAGAUGCACGUCUAGACAAAGCCUUUCAUAUAUUGUCGUCCACCGCGAGUCAGCUUAACGAUGAGUGCCAACAUUUUGGAAAUUUGGUCGCAUCUAAGUUGAG
Bacillus rossius redtenbacheri is the source of this 818-nucleotide long non-coding RNA. RefSeq lists it as uncharacterized. NCBI's taxonomy places the organism in Eukaryota, Metazoa, Arthropoda, Insecta, Phasmatodea, Bacillidae. The record is from RefSeq and is a predicted model, not a curated record. The transcript is spliced from 3 exons.